Homo sapiens (human) is the source of this 552-nucleotide long non-coding RNA. Ensembl annotates it as long intergenic non-protein coding RNA 2441. NCBI's taxonomy places the organism in Eukaryota, Metazoa, Chordata, Mammalia, Primates, Hominidae. The record is from Ensembl.
AAUUGAAACACUUUUAGCUUAGAAAAGAGCAGAGCAGAGGGUAACUAGCUCAGAAUUUUUAGUUGGUGGCAUGUAUUUAUGAGAUGGAAAAGUCUAUGUCUGAGAGGGGACAGAGGCUUAUCUUCUAGCGUGGAAAGGAGAAGGGGAUGGAAGAAUCACUGAAGAGGAGAAUACAGACCAAUCUCACUCCCGUGACCCCACCCAGAAGUGAUUCAAUGCAAGAGGACAGCUUGGAUCUCCUAUGACUUCAUCUCUGCCCCAACCCAUCAGCAGCAAGCACUCAUUGCCUAGCAACCACCGGCCCUUACCCCACACUGUCUUUGAAAAGCUCCUGCUUAUGAGCCUUGGAUGAGACUGAUUUGAGUGUUAACUCCACCUCCCACGUGGCGUGGCUGGCCUCCUGUCUGUGAAACUCUUUCUUUAUUGCAGUGUUGUGGUCUUUAUUUGCGCAGUGGGCAGGAAGAACCCCUUGGGUAGUUACAAAAGGUCACCUGGAAAUGAAGUGACAACUAAUUAGAAUUGAAGAAGUGUGGGUCUGCUGUCUCAUUAUGG